AGCAAAAACCGCACUGAUACGAGUAUGGUCCGACGCCUCUUGAAGGAUAAUAUAGGAUCUCCAUACCCUACUCCGACUCAGUACGUCCACAGCGUACAGAAUGGUAACAUAUUUCUCCAAUUAUCUGAGCUUGGGUACACAGGAAAACCCAACCCCUUGGGAGUAUGGGUCAUAUGGCUAAAUUGAAUGGC
Molecule: non-coding RNA, 191 nt
Organism: Anopheles stephensi (Asian malaria mosquito)
Lineage: Eukaryota; Metazoa; Arthropoda; Insecta; Diptera; Culicidae
Source: Rfam